Molecule: unclassified non-coding RNA, 1235 nt
Filed under: Hevea brasiliensis (rubber tree)
Lineage: Eukaryota; Viridiplantae; Streptophyta; Magnoliopsida; Malpighiales; Euphorbiaceae
Source: RNAcentral
UUUUUCUCCCAUAUCUUUGCUACAUUAAAACAUACUUCACUUUCACUAUAAAUUACUAAACUUUGGCAGUUCCUAAUAUCUAUUAACAAGGAACAAACAAAAUUUGGAUGAAGCUGUCUAAAUAUGUGUGAAUCAGAGCUAAAUACGCAAGUAGAAGAAAACAAAGAUCCUUCCAGCUAACAAGCCUAGCAAGCUUCUAAAUACAGAGUGUGACUAUUAUACACAUGGCUGUUGAUAUAGACAAUUUUAUCUGCUUACCACCCAUAAAUGGGAUUUUCUACCUGUGGAGGCAAGAGAUGCAAGUCUUUACAAUGCUGCUUGUCAUAGUCCCGUGUCCCAGGUAUUGCUCCAGUACAGAGUCUAAGGAACUCAUUCCCAGUGAGACAAUAAUGGGCAAAUGCCAACCCUCCAUCAACCAUCUCAGACAUACUAGGCAAUGGAACUGCUUUUGCCAUGCUCUUUCUGUUAGUUUUGCUCAAUCUUGCAUCACCCUUGUCAUCAUUCAAGACUUUGUCUAGCUCAGAAUAUUGCAUAAAUCUCUGUGUUGCAGCCUCCCAUGAGAGAUUAUAUCUUUGCUCAGGUGUAAGAGGUUUAGGCUCAUUUGCUAAUGCUUCUUUCACUUUUGCAACAAAGUCCUCAGAUGUCUUGUAAGUCAAACAGUUUGGAAAUGACCUGAAGAACUCAUUUGAUGGGUGAUCCGCACACACAACAAAUUUUCCCAUUGCAAGCGCCUCAGCAGUCGCUGUGCAGAGCACAUCACUCACACUAGGAUUUAUGAAAACUUUGUACCCAAGAAGCGAAUCAUCUGCAUGGUCUCUCCCAUUCAGAAAGUUGACUUUCAAAUCCAACCUUUUAGCUGCAAUCUGAACUUCACGUGCAUCCUCUCCAUUCCCAAACACAUCCAAAUUGAAGCCAUCCAGUUCAUUUUUGUGCCUUGCUAGCAAAUCUAUCAACUCUCUGUAUCCCUUGGCCCAGACCAUCUUGCCUAGGAAAUAUGCUCCUUUUGAGAAGGCUUGCUGCCCAAGUUCCCUUUCUGCAGCAAUCUUUUCUCCAAUUUUCAAAAACUUAGGAUUCACACCAUGAACAUUGCAAAUCACGGACUUCGGUAAAUCCUGGGUGGCAGCAGAAAGGCGAAGAACCUUGUUACAAUAUGCUCGAAUAACCCAAUUGUUUAUAUGUUUGACAAAAAAAGCUUGCAGAGCCCCAUUCCUUUCCCUCUUGAUGUAUUCUAGGUA